This 375-nucleotide unclassified non-coding RNA is filed under the name soil metagenome. Its description in RNAcentral is "partial contains 5.8S ribosomal RNA, internal transcribed spacer 2, and large subunit ribosomal RNA". The stretch from base 1 to 120 matches the Rfam family "5.8S ribosomal RNA", at positions 35 to 154 of the family's 154-position model. The record is from RNAcentral.
GAUGAAGAACGCAGCGAAAUGCGAUAAGUAAUGUGAAUUGCAGAAUUCAGUGAAUCAUCGAAUCUUUGAACGCAUCUUGCGCUCCUUGGUAUUCUGAGGAGCAUGCCUGUUUGAGUGUCAUUAAAUUCUCAACUACACUGACUUUGAAUUGGUGUGGCUUGGAUUUGGGGGGAAAAUUGUUGUGGGCUUUUUGUAUAGUCUGCUCCCCUGAAAUUGAUUAGCGGUACCUUAGUGGAACUGUCUACAGGUGUGAUAAUUAUCUACAUCUUAGACAUCUGCUGGAAUGCUGCUUUCUAAACCUUACUUGUAUUGACAAUCUUGACCUCAAAUCAGGUAGGACUACCCGCUGAACUUAAGCAUAUCAAUAAGCGGAGA